RNAcentral lists this ribosomal RNA (353 nucleotides) under uncultured bacterium. RNAcentral describes it as "bacterial SSU rRNA". It matches the Rfam family "Bacterial small subunit ribosomal RNA", at positions 917 to 1267 of the family's 1533-position model. The record is from RNAcentral.
GGACCCGCACAAGUAGUGGAGCAUGUGGUUUAAUUCGAAGAUACGCGCAGAACCUUACCAACACUUGACAUGUUCGUCGCGACUUUAAGAGAUUAAAGUUUUCGGUUCGGCCGGACGAAACACAGGUGCUGCAUGGCUGUCGUCAGCUCGUGUCGUGAGAUGUUGGGUUAAGUCCCGCAACGAGCGCAACCCUCACUUUUAGUUGCCAUCAUUUAGUUGGGCACUCUGAAAGAACUGCCAGUGAUAAGCUGGAGGAAGGUGGGGAUGACGUCAAGUCCUCAUGGCCCUUACGACCAGGGCUGCACACGUGCUACAAUGCCCAGCACAAUGGGGAUGCAACACCGCGAGUUGAG